RNAcentral lists this ribosomal RNA (268 nucleotides) under uncultured bacterium. RNAcentral's name for it is "partial 16S ribosomal RNA". It matches the Rfam family "Bacterial small subunit ribosomal RNA", at positions 338 to 602 of the family's 1533-position model. The record is from RNAcentral.
CCUACGGGGGGCAGCAGUGAGGAAUAUUGGUCAAUGGGCGGGAGCCUGAACCAGCCAAGUCGCGUGAGGGACGACGGUCCUAUGGAUUGUAAACCUCUUUUGUCGGGGAGCAAGACCCGCCUCGUGCAGGCGGAGCGAGAGUACCCGAAGAAGAAGCAUCGGCUAACUCCGUGCCAGCAGCCGCGGUAAUACGGAGGAUGCGAGCGUUAUCCGGAUUUAUUGGGUUUAAAGGGUGCGCAGGCGGACCAUCAAGUCAGCGGUAAAAUCG